This 77-nucleotide transfer RNA is filed under the name Ishigurovirus osborne. RNAcentral describes it as "Aeromonas virus 65 tRNA-Met". It matches the Rfam family "tRNA". Rfam says of the family: Transfer RNA (tRNA) molecules are approximately 80 nucleotides in length. Lineage: Duplodnaviria; Heunggongvirae; Uroviricota; Caudoviricetes; Pantevenvirales; Straboviridae. The record is from RNAcentral.
GCCCCCAUAGCUCAGUUGGUUAGAGCGUCCGACUCAUAAUCGGGUGGUCACUGGUUCGAGUCCAGUUGGGGCCACCA